GUGGGGAAUAUUGGACAAUGGGCGCAAGCCUGAUCCAGCCAUGCCGCGUGUGUGAAGAAGGCCUUUUGGUUGUAAAGCACUUUAAGCGAGGAGGAGGCUCCUUUAGUUAAUACCUAAAGAGAGUGGACGUUACUCGCAGAAUAAGCACCGGCUAACUCUGUGCCAGCAGCCGCGGUAAUACAGAGGGUGCGAGCGUUAAUCGGAUUUACUGGGCGUAAAGCGUGCGUAGGCGGCUUUUUAAGUCGGAUGUGAAAUCCCUGAGCUUAACUUAGGAAUUGCAUUCGAUACUGGAAAGCUAGAGUAUGGGAGAGGAUGGUAGAAUUCCAGGUGUAGCGGUGAAAUGCGUAGAGAUCUGGAGGAAUACCGAUGGCGAAGGCAGCCAUCUGGCCUAAUACUGACGCUGAGGUACGAAAGCGUGGGGAGCAAACAGGAUUAGAUACCCCAGUAGUCC
Molecule: ribosomal RNA, 451 nt
Filed under: uncultured bacterium
Lineage: Bacteria
Description: partial 16S ribosomal RNA
Rfam family: Bacterial small subunit ribosomal RNA
Source: RNAcentral